RNAcentral lists this ribosomal RNA (253 nucleotides) under uncultured bacterium. RNAcentral describes it as "partial 16S ribosomal RNA". It matches the Rfam family "Bacterial small subunit ribosomal RNA", at positions 524 to 776 of the family's 1533-position model. The record is from RNAcentral.
UACGAAGGGGGCUAGCGUUGCUCGGAAUUACUGGGCGUAAAGCGCACGUAGGCGGCUCUUUAAGUCGGGGGUGAAAUCCUGGAGCUCAACUCCAGAACUGCCUUCGAUACUGUAGAGCUUGAGUUCGGGAGAGGUGAGUGGAACUGCGAGUGUAGAGGUGAAAUUCGUAGAUAUUCGGAAGAACACCAGUGGCGAAGGCGACUAACUGGACAUGUAUUGACGCUGAGGUGCGAAAGCGUGGGGAGCAAACAGG